UACGUAGGAGGCGAGCGUUGUCCGGAGUUACUGGGCGUAAAGGGUGCGCAGGCGGUCGGGCAGGUCGGCGAUGAAAUCUCUCGGCUCAACCGGGAGGGGCUCGCGGAAACCGCGCGACUUGAGGCUCGGGGAGGGGCGUGGAAUUCCGGGUGGAGCGGUGAAAUGCGUAGAGAUCCGGAGGAACACCGACGGCGUAAGCAGCGCCCUAGACGAGCUCUGACGCUCAGGCACGAAAGCUGGGGGAG
RNAcentral lists this ribosomal RNA (245 nucleotides) under uncultured bacterium. RNAcentral describes it as "partial 16S ribosomal RNA". It matches the Rfam family "Bacterial small subunit ribosomal RNA", at positions 524 to 768 of the family's 1533-position model. The record is from RNAcentral.